Molecule: ribosomal RNA, 253 nt
Filed under: uncultured bacterium
Lineage: Bacteria
Description: partial 16S ribosomal RNA
Rfam family: Bacterial small subunit ribosomal RNA
Source: RNAcentral
UACGUAGGGUGCAAGCGUUAAUCGGAAUUACUGGGCGUAAAGCGUGCACAGGCGGUUUUGUAAGUCUGACGUGAAAUCCCCGGGCUUAACCUGGGAAUUGCGUUGGAGACUGCAAGGCUGGAGUCUGGCAGAGGGGGGUAGAAUUCCACGUGUAGCAGUGAAAUGCGUAGAGAUGUGGAGGAACACCGAUGGCGAAGGCAGCCCCCUGGGUCAAGACUGACGCUCAUGCACGAAAGCGUGGGGAGCAAACAGG